This 73-nucleotide transfer RNA is filed under the name Terfezia boudieri ATCC MYA-4762. It matches the Rfam family "tRNA". From Rfam's summary of the family: Transfer RNA (tRNA) molecules are approximately 80 nucleotides in length. Their secondary structure includes four short double-helical elements and three loops (D, anti-codon, and T loops). Further hydrogen bonds mediate the characteristic L-shaped molecular structure. tRNAs have two regions of fundamental functional importance: the anti-codon, which is responsible for specific mRNA codon recognition, and the 3' end, to which the tRNAs corresponding amino acid is attached (by aminoacyl-tRNA synthetases). tRNAs cope with the degeneracy of the genetic code in two manners: having more than one tRNA (with a specific anti-codon) for a particular amino acid; and 'wobble' base-pairing, i.e. permitting non-standard base-pairing at the 3rd anti-codon position. The record is from Rfam by way of RNAcentral. Lineage: Eukaryota; Fungi; Ascomycota; Pezizomycetes; Pezizales; Pezizaceae.
GGUCGCGUGGCUCAAUCGGCAGAGCAUCGUACUAAAAAUACGAGGGUUGUGAGUUCGAGUCUCACCGUGACCA